RNAcentral lists this ribosomal RNA (465 nucleotides) under uncultured bacterium. Its description in RNAcentral is "partial 16S ribosomal RNA". It matches the Rfam family "Bacterial small subunit ribosomal RNA", at positions 28 to 507 of the family's 1533-position model. The record is from RNAcentral.
GAUGAACGCUGGCGGCGUGCUUAACACAUGCAAGUCGAACGGAAAGGCCCCUUUGGGGGUACUCGAGUGGCGAACGGGUGAGUAACACGUGAGUAACCUGCCUUUACUUCCGGGUUACUUCAAGGAAACUGGGGCAAUUCCCGGUAGGAAUUCUUUCCUGCAGGGUGGGGGUUGGAAAGCUCCGGCGGUUUUGGAUGGACUCGCGGCUUAUCAGCUUGUUGGUGGGGUAGUGGCUUACCAAGGCUUUGACGGGUAGCCGGCCUGAGAGGGCGACCGGCCACAUUGGGACUGAGAUACGGCCCAGACUCCUACGGGAGGCAGCAGUGGGGAAUAUUGCACAAUGGGCGGAAGCCUGAUGCAGCAACGCCGCGUGCGGGAUGACGGCCUUCGGGUUGUAAACCGCUUUCAGCAGGGGCGAAGCUUGUGGUGACGGUACCUGCAGAAGAAGCACCGGCUAACUACGUG